This 253-nucleotide ribosomal RNA is filed under the name uncultured bacterium. Its description in RNAcentral is "partial 16S ribosomal RNA". It matches the Rfam family "Bacterial small subunit ribosomal RNA", at positions 524 to 776 of the family's 1533-position model. The record is from RNAcentral.
GACGGAGGGUGCAAGCGUUGUUCGGAUUGACUGGGCGUAAAGGGCGUGUAGGCGGCCGGCCAAGUCUGAUGUGAAAGCCCGGGGCUUAGCCCCGGAAGUGCAUUGGAAACUAGCUGGCUUGAGCGCGAGAGAGGAGGGUGGAAUUCCUGGUGUAGCGGUGAAAUGCGUAGAUACCAGGAGGAACACCGGCGGCGAAGGCGGCCCUCUGGCUCGUUGCUGACGCUGAGACGCGAAAGCGUGGGGAGCAAACAGG